CCUACGGGCGGCUGCAGUAGGGAAUAUUGGACAAUGGGCGAAAGCCUGAUCCAGCCAUGCCGCGUGAUAGAUGAAGGCCCUCUGGGUUGUAAAUAUCUUUUAUCUGGGAAGAAACAAUCUUAUUCUUAAGAUCUUGACGGUAACAGAGGAAUAAGCACCGGCUAACUCCGUGCCAGAAGCCGCGGUCAUACGGAGGGUGCAAGCGUUAUCCGGAUUCACUGGGGUUAAGGGGGGCGGAUAAGGCCUUGUAGAAAGCUCCGAGCUUAACUUGGAAACUGCCAUUGAUACUGCCAGUCUUGAAUGUCGUAGAGGUAAGCGGAAUGUUGCAUGUAGCGGUGAAAUGCUUAGAUAUGUGACAGAACACCAAUUGCGAAGGCAGCUUACUAUGCGAUGAUUGACGCUGAGGCACGAAAGCGUGGGGAGCAAACAGGAUUAGAUACCCCAGUAGUC
This 450-nucleotide ribosomal RNA is filed under the name uncultured bacterium. RNAcentral describes it as "partial 16S ribosomal RNA". It matches the Rfam family "Bacterial small subunit ribosomal RNA", at positions 338 to 795 of the family's 1533-position model. The record is from RNAcentral.